CAUGCGAGUCGAGAGGUGCAAGACCUCGGCGUACUGCUCAGUAACACGUGGACAAUCUGCCCUGAAGAGGAGGAUAAUCCCGGGAAACUGGGGGUAAUACUCCAUAGUUCGUGCUGACUGGAAUGUUAUGCGAACGAAAGAUCCGUCGCUUCAGGAUGAGUCUGCGGCCGAUUAGGUAGUUGUUGGGGUAACGGCCCAACAAGCCUGUCAUCGGUACGGGUUGUGGGAGCAAGAGCCCGGAGAUGGAUUCUGAGACACGAAUCCAGGCCCUACGGGGCGCAGCAGGCGCGAAAACUUUACCAUGCGGGCAACCGUGAUAAGGAAACCCCGAGUGUUGCCAGCACAGGCUGGUCCACCAGUGUAAAUAACUGGUGAAGAAAGGGCCGGGCAAGACCGGUGCCAGCCGCCGCGGUAAUACCGGCGGCUCGAGUGGUGGCCGCUAUUACUGGGCUUAAAGGGUCCGUAGCUGGAUAUACAAGUCCCUUGAGAAAUCCGCCGGCUUAACCGGUGGGCGUUCAGGGGAAACUGAGAGUAUUUCUAGGGACCGGGAGAGGUGAGAGUGCCGGGGUAGGAGUGAAAUCCUGUAAUCCCGGUGGGACCACCUAUGGCGAAGGCAUCUCACCAGAACGGGUCCGACAGUGAGGGACGAAAGCUGGGGGAGCAAACCGGAUUAGAUACCCGGGUAGUCCCAGCUGUAAACGAUGCGCGUUAGGUGUGUCAGUGACCACGUGUCACUGAGGUGCCGAAGGGAAACCGUGAAACGCGCCGCCUGGGGAGUACGGUCGCAAGGCUGAAACUUAAAGGAAUUGGCGGGGGAGCACCACAACGGGUGGAGCCUGCGGUUUAAUCGGACUCAACGCCGGAAAUCUCACCGGAUAAGACAGCUGAAUGAUAGUCGGGAUGAAGACUCUACUUGACUAGCUGAGAGGAGGUGCAUGGCCGUCGUCAGUUCGUACUGUGAAGCAUCCUGUUUAGUCAGGCAACGAGCCCCACGCGAGCAGCCAGCUUGGCUGUAC
Molecule: ribosomal RNA, 1016 nt
Filed under: Methanospirillum hungatei
Lineage: Archaea; Methanobacteriati; Methanobacteriota; Methanomicrobia; Methanomicrobiales; Methanospirillaceae
Description: bacterial SSU rRNA
Rfam family: Archaeal small subunit ribosomal RNA
Source: RNAcentral